Molecule: RNA transcript, 5718 nt
Organism: Prunus dulcis (almond)
Lineage: Eukaryota; Viridiplantae; Streptophyta; Magnoliopsida; Rosales; Rosaceae
Exons: 4
Source: RefSeq, a predicted model, not a curated record
AUAGAGGGAGAAAGGAAAAAAAAAAUUAGAUUUUUAUCUAACCAUUUUUUGAAAUAAUUACGAUAUUGCCACUGGUGAUGUUUUGCUCGUAACUUCUUCGUUACAAUUUCGAUUCGAGCUCACUACGUUUGCGGACUCAUCUCAGUACAAUCUACCUAAAAAUACCAUUCGUUACCUCAAAAUUUCUUCGUAUAUGAAAAUGACCAAAAUACCCAUACUCCAAGGGUAAAUUCAUAAAUUCAUAUUUAAUUAAAUAAAAUAAUUUAAAUAGGAAAUUUAAUUGGAGUUGGGGUGUUACAACCUACCCCCCUUAUAAAGAUUUCAUCCUCGAAAUUUACAUACAUAUCAAUUGAAGAGAUAAGGGUACUUAGCCCACAUCUGCGCCUCGGGCUCCAGAGUAGCUUCUUCAACACUUUGACUUCUCCACAACUUUCACCACAUGAAUGGAUCUGGAGCGCAACAUUUGUUUUUUUCUAUCCAGGAUCUACACAGGUUGCUCCUCAUAUGUCAAAUCUUCUCUCAACUCCACUGGUUGAUGUUCUAGAACAUGAGAAGGAUCAGACAUAUACUUCUGUAUCAUGGAUACAUGAAACACGUCAUGGAUCCGAGAUAGUUCUGUAUGUAAGGCAAGUCUAUAGGCAACUGGUCCAACGCGCUCUGUGAUCUCGUAAGGUCCAAUAUAACAAGGGCUUAACUUCCCACGUUUCCCAAAUCUCAUCACACCUUUCCAAAGAGCUAGCUUCAAGAAUACCCAAUCUCCAACAGUAAACUCAAGAUCCUUGGACCUGUUGUCCGCAUAACUUUUCUGUCGGUCUUGUGCGGUUUUCAACUUGUCUCUAAUCAUCUUCACCUUCUCGGUUGGUGCUCGGAUACUUUCUACCUUUUUCACUUUCUUGUCACCCACCUUAUUCCAACAUAUAGGAGUUCUACACUGCCUCCCAUACAAAGUCUCAUACGGAGCCAUCUCAAUGCUUGAAUGAUAACUGUUGUUAUAUGAAAACUCCACCAAGGCAAGGUAAGUAUCCCAAUUGUCUUUCAACUGUAAUACAUAAGAUAUCAGCAUGUCUUCCAAGGUCAGGUUGUAACACAUGGACUCCAAUUAAAUUCCCUAUUUAAAUUAUUAAAUAUGAAUUACAAAUUUGCCCUUGGGGUAGGGUUAUUUUGGUCAUUUUCUUAUCCUGAGAGAUUUUGAGGUAACGAGUGGUAUUUUUAGGUAGAUCGUACUGAGAUGAGUUCGUAGACGCAAUGGGUUUGAAUUGGAGUUGUCACGAAGAAGUUACGAGCAAAACAUCACCAGUGGCAAGAUCGUAAUUAUUUCGAAAAGGGUUUGAUAAAAAUUUGAUUUUUUUUUCUUUCUCCCUCUCCCAUUGCGACAGCCCCCUCCCCUUUGAAAAUUUGCAGUUGACGCCACCUUUCUCGAAAAACACCACCACCGGCCACCAGACUAGUCGGGUCAGAACCGCUACUACCCCAACAACCGUUCCCGACCAACUCCGACGUCAGCCACCGCCUGAAUGGGUAAGAAAAAGUCGUCAAUUUUUGACAAUUUUUCGCCGGCUUCGUUCUACGUCAUUCGGUUAUCGUUUUCGACAAGUGAGGUAUGCUUUCUCACCUAUUGUUCAUGAUCUAGCUGAUGGUUGGGUAGGAUUUCGUCAAUUUUGAGCCUACGUGGUUUGAUUUUCAAAUUGAAAUUCGGUCAAUUUUGGGAUCACGAUUCCGAUCACUUCCGGUCACUUUUUGGGUUAGGCCCAAGAACAAAAGUGCCCCAAAUAAGGUGUUACACCUAGGGUAGAAGUCUUGACCCGCUUUGUUGCCGCAUGUGGCAGUGUCUGGGCACUGUAGAAAGGGGCAUUGUGUACCGAUGUGAUCCCCUGGUCCUCCCAAACGCCUAGGUGCUUUCGGAUUUCAAUUUGAUUGACGUUUGAGCACCGAACGGAUUUCGCAUAUUGUGCGUUAUCCGGGUUCGAUAGGUUCUAACUGUUGGAUCGUUUCAAAUAUAAUAUGUGUUACUCUAGACAUUCUUAGAAUUGCAUAGGAAUUUGCAGAUCGUGAAUUGGGGUCCUGGAUGUUCUAAUUCAUAAACUUGAAGUUUGCGUUUUACGAGAACCGUGCGAUCGUGAGCAAUCCGACCGUCUGUUUCGGACCAAACUUGCAAGACGUGCAUCCUAGACCUUGUGAAACUUUUAGAAACGCCCGGAUUGUAAAACAGAGGUCGUGGGCCCAGUUGACCCGAAUUGGGAAGUUUGACUGUUAGUUGACCGAGUGUUUCCCGAGGCUAUUCCAUCGUACGAUUUGGGUAGUUGGAUCUUAGAAUGUCUCAUUCCUCGUGCACUUGAAACUCGAGAAAUUAGGAUAUUUAAUUCAAAGUUCUCGUUCGAAACACUUUGUAUUAAUCUCGUAUUCAUAUUUUGAAAUAAGUACUCCGAUUACGCAUACGCCGCAGGCGGGACCCUCUUGGGGUCAAGCAGCGUGGGACCACUUGUGAGUGGACUUUGUUUUCAAAUAAUAAGUAUGGUUUUAUGAUGGAAAACUUAUGCAUAAUGCAUUUGCUAUAUAUUUUGGGUUUUGACAUAUUUGAGUAUCUUGAGUAUAUAUGUAUGGAUUUUGAGAAAUUCUAUCUAUAUUUGUCAAUGUAUGGGGUACUUGGAUUGUUGAGAUGAGUUUGUGGAAAGAAAUGAGUAUAGAAUGUCAGUUUGGAGUGCUAUAAGCACUACCCUAUGUGCCUCACCGGAUUUGGAACUUUGGAAUUGAAAUGGAAGAUACUUGAAUAUGUUGGAACUCAGACGCUCUUGACAGGGUUUUCGUGGACCUUUAGCAGGGUAGUCUGCGCAAGUAGGACUGAUCACAGGCAUACGAGUCUUGAAAAUUCGGCUGUACGUUCUGGCUGAGAGUUUGUCCCUAGUUGAACGGGUCAUUCCCUAGCCACAUGAUCAAUUGAGGACUAUUCCAUGUGGACUAAUCAAACAAUCCCCAGUUUGAUUGUUUUUCCGGUACAAACUAGAUAAUUAUCAUAUUUAUAUCAUAUGUAUAUUGUUUAUUAUAUAUUUAUAUCUAUUCAUUCGUUCUUGUUUCUUAGUGAGGAUACUUCCUCGCUUGUCGUGCCAAUGGGCACUUGUUUCGAGAGUUUAGUUUUGGGACUUAUAAGAUAAAGUUUGAAUGGCUGAUUGGUAAAGUUUUCUUAUGGAUUUCGGACUUGGCUCCGGUAUAGAUUUAACUUGAUCUUUAUUUUUGUCCACUCACACUUUUCUAUUUUGCGUCCCACAGUCAGUAGUUGACUUAGCUCCGCAGCUGAGCCGAAUCGUGUGCUUCCAAAUCUUGAGCCUUCGUAGGACUCUUUCAUCAUUUAAUUUCCAUUCAACUUUGUUUUUGUUGUAAUUGAAUUUCUUAGAUAUGCUAUGUUAUCGCCCGUGCUAUGGUUUGAUUUAUGAGUCCGGGGGCCUUCGUUGUAAACUGUUUAUUGUUUAAAAGCAUGUUGCUGGUUGGGAUAUUAAAUUGUGAGUGGGCCUGGCAUCGGGGUGAUGCCGGAAAUACUACGGGAUUCAUCCCGGGUUCCAAAGAAUCCAGGGCGGGUCCUGUCAAUCAUGACCACAAAUUUAAAAUCUUAAACCUUAAAGACACAUUUCUACAUGAUUUUCUUCGACAGAUUGAUUUGUGUUAAAUGGGUAUCAUAGCUAUUGCUAAAAGAUUACAAGAGAUUUCUUUCUAGGUUCAAUUGAAAUAGACAAGUGCAUAUGUGGUGCAACAUGGUCUUUAAUUUUUGUGGAUGUUUACUAGUCCUCUUAUGUGAAAAUAUAAGUUGUUUACUUUAUAAGAUGGUGCAAAGUUUCAAAUCUAACCGAAAUCAAUUCCAUUCAUGAUUAAGCUUGGAAUGUAUAUUUUUUUAUUCACUAGAUAGAUGCGUUAGAUGGACUGGUAUUACUGCAUGACAUGACAAACCUUGCAAAUCCUCACUUCGACUGUCAUCAUAUGAUGGUUUUCUAGUACAGAGUUCUUCGACAGAGCAGUGACUCUGCUACUCUCACUAUGAAGUAGUUUUUGCCUGUGAUCUAGCCUGGUUACUUCCUUGUCAUGUUUUGUGGCUCAUAAGGAAUUGUUUUAAUGUCACUCUGUUUUUGGGUGUCAUUCGAGCAUGGUUCGAAUGGGUAAUGAGGAGACUUGUUUUUGUAGCUUGUUGAUACUGCUCUGUGACUGAUCAUGUCAUGGGUGCAUGAAUAGGGUUAGAAUUCAAGGCAUGGAAGGGAAGAAAUUUGAGGAAGGGGAGGGUUAAGGAUUAAUGUAUUUCUUUUUCUUAAGGACUAAGGUGGCUAACGAUGAAUGAAGAAAUUCUACCUCAGCCCAUUAACCUAUAUGUUGUUUGUUCAAUUUACCCAUUAAAUGCUUCUGUGAUUGAAGAAAUAGAUUUGCCUAUCCUGGUUUCAUUUCAUUUCCAGCUCCUUUGUUUAUUGCAUAUGUAUCAUGUAAUUAAUCCUUUAGCUGCAAAGUUCUAUUUGAUGAGACAUCCACUUGUUGCGACAUCUACUUGUUAUGCUUUAUUUCUCAGUGAAGUCUGAUGCAAUACAACUGAAGUAUUUAAGAUAACUAGUGAGGAGAUGAUAUCUCUACUUCCUGAGUUCAUGGAUACUUGUGAAAAUAAAGAUAUUAGGGUUGAAGAAUAUUUAGAUUUCAUUGUUAAGAAGCGAUCAGUUGCAAGCAAGGAAGCACUUGGAAUACGAAUUCACAGCAUGGGGAUGCGUAUUUCUGCCAUAUGGGAAGCCAGGAAUCUAGAAAUUUCCACUCUAAAGAAAUCAGAGAAGGCAUUUCAGCCAAAUUCAGAUAAAAAGGAUAGGAAGUUUCCACUUUUAUCGCAGAGAAAAAGGAGCUGGACAAACGUUUCAGCACUAUUUCUCAGCGCGUUGAAUCGUUUUCCCCCAUACAUAAGGAUUUUUGUGGCAAGCACAUUAGAUUUGAUCCUAAAACUUCAAGCUCAGAGGAUGAAGGUAGGGAUGAUUAUUUGUCUGAAGAGAAUGAUGAAAAUAAUGACCAUGUAACAGGCAGUCAGGUUAACUUCUCAUCAGAGUCUGUUGAAAGUUCUGACCGAGUACUUGAUAGGAUGCUGCAGUUUAAUAAUACUGAAGCUCAGAAGAGAAAGAAAAUCAAGUCAAUGUUUUCUUUGUAUCCAUUAAUUGGAUUACUAAAUGUUGUUGCAAGUUAUUGUGGCUUGAGAAAUUUUCCCAUGUUUGGAGGUCAAAACAACUUGUGUAGGCAACCAUGCAUAGUUUCAGAGUUGAAGGUGAUGAUGUCUUUUGAGCCAAUGGAUUUUUCUAGAUAUCAUAAGUGCAAUGGAAAAUUAACAAAUUGGUCUAGACAAAGAGUCAAACAUUUUUUCUGUUGGAUGCUAGAAAUGCCUCAUAUAAUUAUUGGCUAAGCUGCAAGAUGUGGUGUCAUCAAAUGCAGAGGAGAGACCUCAAGUGAUACACAUCGAUCAUUUUCUGUGAGUUGAUUCGAUAAAGAAAAAUUGUCUGGUGCUUUUUUGACUUAAGAAAGGUGGUUUAACUUUGCCUUGUUUGCUUUUGGUUUGUAAUAUUGUUUCUCAUUGGCUGUUCUUGGAUUUUUUUUUUUUUUCUUUCUUUCCUUAUGUAUCUCUUAGAACUUGACUUUUGCCUUAUGGAAUUGUGGAUGUUUAUUUGUAUGUAUUAAUGGUGGAUUUGUGUGCAGUGAAUUGAAUUUCUAAUUUCGAGU